RNAcentral lists this ribosomal RNA (87 nucleotides) under Aspergillus niger. The record is from RNAcentral. Lineage: Eukaryota; Fungi; Ascomycota; Eurotiomycetes; Eurotiales; Aspergillaceae.
ACAUACGACCACAGGGUGUGGAAAACAGGGCUUCCCGUCCGCUCAGCCGUACUUAAGCCACACGCCGGGAGGUUAGUAGUUGGGUGG